UGGGGAAUUUUGGACAAUGGGCGAAAGCCUGAUCCAGCAAUGCCGCGUGUGUGAAGAAGGCCUUCGGGUUGUAAAGCACUUUUGUCCGGAAAGAAAUCCUUGGCUCUAAUACAGUCGGGGGAUGACGGUACCGGAAGAAUAAGCACCGGCUAACUACGUGCCAGCAGCCGCGGUAAUACGUAGGGUGCAAGCGUUAAUCGGAAUUACUGGGCGUAAAGCGUGCGCAGGCGGUUUGCUAAGACCGAUGUGAAAUCCCCGGGCUCAACCUGGGAACUGCAUUGGUGACUGGCAGGCUAGAGUAUGGCAGAGGGGGGUAGGAAUUCCACGUGUAGCAGUGAAAUGCGUAGAGAUGUGGAGGAAUACCGAUGGCGAAGGCAGCCCCCUGGGCCAAUACUGACGCUCAUGCACGAAAGCGUGGGGAGCAAACAGGAUUAGAUACCCUGGUAGUCCACGCCCUAAAACGAUGUCAACUAGUUGUUGGGGAUUCAUUUCCUUAGUAACGUAGCUAACGCGUGAAGUUGACCGCCUGGGGAGUACGGUCGCAAGAUUAAAACUCAAAUGAAUUGACGGGGUCAUAGCUGUUUCC
RNAcentral lists this ribosomal RNA (586 nucleotides) under uncultured bacterium. Its description in RNAcentral is "partial 16S ribosomal RNA". It matches the Rfam family "Bacterial small subunit ribosomal RNA", at positions 355 to 937 of the family's 1533-position model. The record is from RNAcentral.